UGUCUCUGUCCCUCUUUCUUGCUCGUUCGGCUCGUUCUUAACGUCAAACCACUUAGGGCCGCGGACCUCGACAGUCAGUCGAUCUUUCCUAGCAGCAGCAUUCCGGCAUUUUCCACCUGAUCGCGCGCGGGCGGUCCGGCAAACGCCAUUUUGUUCGGUCACACGUUUCUCUGUCGGUUUUUCUCGCGAGAGAGAACAGAGAAAUUCUCGUGCGUAAAAAACAAACGUUCGCAUGUGCCGCGCACCCUUCCACGCCCCGUGGAACACCUGCGUUUACCGAAAACACAACAAACGAAGGCGACGCACUUUGUAACACGAGAGACGUACACACGCGCGCGCGUUUUGUUGUUGUCGUCGUCGUCGUUGUCGUCAUUGUCGUCGGUCCGUCGAGGCUGUCGUUGAUCGUGUGUCGUCGUCGUCGUUGUCGUCGUGUGGUGCCGGUGGUUUUACACGUCAAACGUACGACGGGGGUUCCAUCGGACAAGAAGGGACGGAAACCUAGCGAUCGCGACGGAUUAACGGACCACCAGGCGUUGCUGGUUUGUCCAUCGACGACGAGUACCCGCACGGAACACGGAGUGCGUGACCCCGGGCGCGUGGUGUUCUCCUCUCUGCGCUGCACGUUUUUUUUUGUUGUUCUUUUUUCUCACCAAUUUCCCUUCCGCCCGCGAAAACAACGAACCUGGGAAAUACCACGCGAAAGAACGAGGAACACGCGAGGUAUCAUCGACGUCUCAACAGGGAAGCCGCCAAUCGACGCGUAUCAUCGAAGUGAUGCACGCGUACACACAUCGAGCAACGACCGCUUAAACAACUUUCGUCGAUCGACAGUCGGCCCCCCCGGAUCGGUGGUUCGACGUCCAGAGAACCGACGACCGAUUUCCCGUCGACUGACACCUCGCGAAGGGGUAAGGCGACGGUGGGCAUCGAGGUGAAGCACACCGGACACACACACGCAAACAGUCCCCGUGGCUUGUGCAAGGUUCACGCGCAUGCUUCAGCAACGAGGCGGCUCAGUAACGACACCUCCCGCGACGUCAUCGUCCAACAUGUUCCCCCAACAGUAUUGUCUACGAUGGAAAUACCAUCACAGCAAC
Molecule: long non-coding RNA, 1097 nt
Organism: Dufourea novaeangliae
Lineage: Eukaryota; Metazoa; Arthropoda; Insecta; Hymenoptera; Halictidae
Exons: 3
Source: RefSeq, a predicted model, not a curated record